UACGAAGGGGGCUAGCGUUGCUCGGAAUCACUGGGCGUAAAGGGCGCGUAGGCGGCCAUUCAAGUCAGGGGUGAAAGCCUGUGGCUCAACCACAGAAUUGCCUUUGAUACUGUUUGGCUAGAGACCGGAAGAGGUAAGUGGAACUGCGAGUGUAGAGGUGAAAUUCGUAGAUAUUCGCAAGAACACCAGUGGCGAAGGCGGUUCACUGGCCCGAUACUGACGCUGAGGUGCGAAAGCAUGGGGAGCGAACAGG
This 253-nucleotide ribosomal RNA is filed under the name uncultured bacterium. RNAcentral's name for it is "partial 16S ribosomal RNA". It matches the Rfam family "Bacterial small subunit ribosomal RNA", at positions 524 to 776 of the family's 1533-position model. The record is from RNAcentral.